GUAAAUACGAAAGAACCUUCACCAUUCCAGCUUAAUGCAGCUAGCCUGAUUUGUUCAAAAUUCACAUCAACUCAUAAGAAGUCAACUAGUAAAGUAAACUACUAAAAAAUGAUGUCAACAAUCAAAAGCAGAACAUUCAAUUAAUACUACAUCCUUUCUCACAUAAAGUUUUGAAGCAAUUUCGUUCAUCGCACGCCACUCUUCAUUAAAACCUUUCUAUAUAGUACACACUAAUGGAAUUAAUCCUAAGAUUUGUUACCUAACAUUAUCUGCAUAAUCUUUGGUCCGGGAAGGUGGAGCACAAUAUAAGACAUUUCAAAGAUGGAUUAACACCCAUUUGAAUCAACUCAUUGUAAGUCACAUUUUUGUGUAUCCAUUUCAAAGACGGAUGACAAUAAGAAAUAAGAUAAAGAAGAAGAACGAACACCACAUUUUUGUGCAUCCAUUUCUGACCAAAUUUAAUUACGUCUUGGGGGAGAGCAUCUCUUCAAUUCAUCAUCAAUGAGUAUCUUACAAAGCAAUACAAGGGUUACAAGUAAUAAGCCUUUAACAAUAAACCCUAAUUUCUACCUUGUUCUCAAUCUCUUCUCUUAAAUAGGAAACUCAAUGAUUUCAUUCUCCAAGGUGUUUAGAAUAAUUCAAAAUCCAAGAGUGUACCACAAAAACACUCGAUUCUUAACUUUUGACUAGCUAAGAAUUUUUUAUUUUGAUGAAGCCUAGUUUGCUUCACU
RNAcentral lists this long non-coding RNA (731 nucleotides) under Medicago truncatula (barrel medic). RNAcentral's name for it is "long non-coding RNA (MTRU_LNC005982)". The record is from RNAcentral. Lineage: Eukaryota; Viridiplantae; Streptophyta; Magnoliopsida; Fabales; Fabaceae.